UACGUAGGUGGCAAGCGUUAUCCGGAAUUAUUGGGCGUAAAGAGCGCGCAGGUGGUUGGUUAAGUCUGAUGUGAAAGCCCACGGCUUAACCGUGGAGGGUCAUUGGAAACUGGUCGACUUGAGUGCAAAAGAGGGAAGUGGAAUUCCAUGUGUAGCGGUGAAAUGCGUAGAGAUAUGGAGGAACACCAGUGGCGAAGGCGGCUUCCUGGUCUGUAACUGACACUGAGGCGCGAAAGCGUGGGGAGCAAACAGGAUUAGAUACCCUGGUA
This 269-nucleotide ribosomal RNA is filed under the name uncultured prokaryote. Its description in RNAcentral is "partial 16S ribosomal RNA". It matches the Rfam family "Bacterial small subunit ribosomal RNA", at positions 524 to 792 of the family's 1533-position model. The record is from RNAcentral.